Molecule: ribosomal RNA, 301 nt
Filed under: uncultured bacterium
Lineage: Bacteria
Description: partial 16S ribosomal RNA
Rfam family: Bacterial small subunit ribosomal RNA
Source: RNAcentral
CAGUCGCCGCGGUAAUACGAAGGGGGCUAGCGUUGCUCGGAAUCACUGGGCGUAAAGCGCACGUAGGCGGCUUUCUAAGUCAGGGGUGAAAUCCUGGAGCUCAACUCCAGAACUGCCUUUGAUACUGGAGAGCUCGAGUUCGGGAGAGGUGAGUGGAACUGCGAGUGUAGAGGUGAAAUUCGUAGAUAUUCGCAAGAACACCAGUGGCGAAGGCGGCUCACUGGCCCGAUACUGACGCUGAGGUACGAAAGCGUGGGGAGCAAACAGGAUUAGAUACCCCGGUAGUCCCUGUCUCUUAUAC